Molecule: ribosomal RNA, 495 nt
Filed under: uncultured bacterium
Lineage: Bacteria
Description: bacterial SSU rRNA
Rfam family: Bacterial small subunit ribosomal RNA
Source: RNAcentral
AACGCGAAGAACCAUACGGGGGGGGUCUUGUACACACCGUGCAGGCGGGCGAGGGCACGUGGGGAACGCGAAGAACCUUACCUGGUCUUGACAUCCUGGGAACCCUGAAGAGAUUCAGGGGUGCCGCAAGGAGCCCAGAGACAGGUGCUGCAUGGCUGUCGUCAGCUCGUGUCGUGAGAUGUUGGGUUAAGUCCCGCAACGAGCGCAACCCUUGUCCUUAGUUGCCAUCAUUUAGUUGGGCACUCUAAGGAGACCGCCGGUGACAAACCGGAGGAAGGUGGGGAUGACGUCAAGUCCUCAUGGCCCUUAUGGGUAGGGCUUCACACGUCAUACAAUGGCCGGUACAGAGGGUUGCCAAAGCGCGAGCUGGAGCCAAUCCCUUGAAAGCCGGUCGUAGUCCGGAUUGCAGUCUGCAACUCGACUGCAUGAAGUCGGAAUCGCUAGUAAUCGCGGAUCAGCAUGCCGCGAUGAAUACGUUCCCGGGCCUUGUACACA